UACGUAGGGUGCGAGCGUUAAUCGGAAUUACUGGGCGUAAAGCGUGCGCAGGCGGUCUGUUAAGACAGAUGUGAAAUCCCCGGGCUUAACCUGGGAAUGGCAUUGGUGACUGCACGGCUAGAGUGUGUCAGAGGGGGGUAGAAUUCCACGUGUAGCAGUGAAAUGCGUAGAGAUGUGGAGGAACACCGAUGGCGAAGGCAAUCCCCUGGGCCUGCACUGACGCUCAUGCACGAAAGCGUGGGGAGCAAACAGG
RNAcentral lists this ribosomal RNA (253 nucleotides) under uncultured bacterium. RNAcentral describes it as "partial 16S ribosomal RNA". It matches the Rfam family "Bacterial small subunit ribosomal RNA", at positions 524 to 776 of the family's 1533-position model. The record is from RNAcentral.